RNAcentral lists this ribosomal RNA (207 nucleotides) under uncultured bacterium. RNAcentral describes it as "partial 16S ribosomal RNA". It matches the Rfam family "Bacterial small subunit ribosomal RNA", at positions 568 to 774 of the family's 1533-position model. The record is from RNAcentral.
CGCGUAGGUGGUUGCGUAAGUCGGAUGUGAAAUCCCCAGGCUUAACCUGGGAACUGCAUCCGAUACUGCAUGACUCGAGUGCAGCAGAGGGAAACGGAAUUCCUGGUGUAGAGGUGAAAUUCGUAGAUAUCAGGAGGAACACCGGUGGCGAAGGCGGUUUCCUGGGCUGACACUGACACUGAGGCGCGAAAGCGUGGGUAGCAAACA